Molecule: ribosomal RNA, 1341 nt
Filed under: metagenome
Description: bacterial LSU rRNA
Rfam family: Bacterial large subunit ribosomal RNA
Source: RNAcentral
GCUACGGCAUUGAAGUGAUCUAUGCCAUGCUUCCAAGAAAAUCUCGUCAUAUCUUAAACAAUAGGUGCCUGUACCUUAAACCGACACAGGUAGGUAGGUAGAGUAUACCAAGGGGCGCGAGAUAACUCUCUCUAAGGAACUCGGCAAAAUAACCUCGUAACUUCGGAAGAAGAGGUACCCUUGAAAAAGGGUUGCAAUAACCAGACCCUGGCGACUGUUUACCAAAAACACAGGUCUCCGCUAAUUCGUAAGAUCAAGUAUGGAGGCUGACGCCUGCCCAGUGCCGGAAGGUUAAAGAAGUUGGUCAAUCUUUGGAUGAAGCUGGCGACUGAAGCCCCGGUGAACGGCGGCCGUAACGAUAACGGUCCUAAGGUAGCGAAGUUCCUUGUCGGGUAAGUUCCGACCCGCACGAAAGGCGUAACGAUCAGGGUGCUGUCUCGGAGAGAGACUCAGCGAAAUAGACAUGUCUGUGAAGAUGCGGACUACCUGCACCUGGACAGAAAGACCCUAUGAAGCUUUACUGUAUCUUGGAAUUGGGUUUGGGCCUUGCUUGCGCAGGAUAGGUGGGAGGCUAUGAAAAUAUUCUUGCGGGAAUGUUGGAGCCAACGGUGAGAUACCACUCUAGUAAGGCUAAAAUUCUAACUCUGAACCGUUAUCCGGUCAGAGAACAGUUUCAGGUGGGCAGUUUGACUGGGGCGGUCGCCUCCUAAAAGGUAACGGAGGCGCGCAAAGGUUCCCUCAGGCUGGUUGGACAUCAGUCGUAGAGUGUAAAGGCAUAAGGGAGCUUGACUGCGAGACCCACAAGUCGAGCAGAGACGAAAGUCGGCCUUAGUGAUCCGACGGUUCCACGUGGAAGGGCCGUCGCUCAACGGAUAAAAGUUACUCUAAGGAUAACAGGCUGAUCUCCCCCAAGAGUUCACAUCGACGGGGACGUUUGGCACCUCGAUGUCGGCUCAUCGCAUCCUGGGGCGGUAGUACGUCCCAAGGGUUGGGCUGUUCGCCCAUGAAAGCGGUACGCGAGCUGGGUUCGGAACGUCGUGAGACGGUUCGGUCCAUAUCCGGUGCAGGCGUUAGAGCAUUGAAAAGAGUCCCCCUUAGUACGAGAGGACCGGGGGGAAUACACCGCUGGUGUACCAGUUAUCGUGCCAACGGUAAACGCUGGGUAGCCAUGUGUAGCGUGGAUAACUGCUGAAAGCAUCUAAGUAGGAAGCCCACCUUAAGAUGAGUGCUCUCACCGCUAUAAGCGGGUAAGGUCACGGUAAGAACAACCGUUAUAUAGGCAUUAAGUAUACGUGCAGUAAUGCAUUUAGCUAAGAUGUACUAACAGACCGAGGGCUUGAU